Solanum pennellii is the source of this 1240-nucleotide long non-coding RNA. RefSeq lists it as uncharacterized. The transcript has 2 exons. Lineage: Eukaryota; Viridiplantae; Streptophyta; Magnoliopsida; Solanales; Solanaceae. The record is from RefSeq and is a predicted model, not a curated record.
UUCAGAGGUGUUGUAUCUAUAUAUUCUAUAUCUAUCUAUCUAUCUAUAUCUAUAUCUUCUAUACUACCUUAAAAACAAACUUGAAUGUUGAAUUACUAUAUACCACCAAUUAAAAAUACUCAAUAUAUUUUAUUUAUUAGUUUAGUUAUUUGUUUACAUUAAAAAUAGAUGCUUUUUCACAUUAAAGGGUUGUCAUUUUUUCAAAGAGUUGUGAUUUUUUCAAAAGGUUGCGACUUUUUUGAUUAGUUGUUACAUUUUCGAUGAGUUGUGACUUUCCAAAGGGUUAUGAUUUUUUCAAAGGGUUAUGAAUUUUCCAAAGGGGUUGUGACUUUCUCAAUGAUUUGUGACUUUUCCAAAGAGUUGUAACAUUUUCGAUGAGCAGGGACUUUUUCGAAAGGUUGUAACUUUUCUAAUAAGGCACAAUUAGCAACUAUUCAUAAUACUAUUUGUUAGUUAUAAAUAGACGAGUUCCUUCUCACUUUUAGACUACAAUUUUUUAAAGUUUUGUACUCUUUUUUUCUUAAAAAAUCUCAAGAGUUAUUUGAAACAGUUCAUUAAGUUCAAAAUUCAACGAAAUUCGAGGUAUCACAUAAAAAGAGUUGGUGAACAAAUUGUAGCAAAUCAUUCAACAAUUCGCACUCGUGGUUUAUCUUAGGAUUUUCAUGAGUUAACAAUGACAAAAAGUCGUGGAAAAGACAAUAACAAUAAGAAGAAAAUAUGAAAAAAGUCACAUGAUACGGGUUUGCGUGGUUGGAUUAAAGUUCAGAUAGCUCAAUAGGUGUGGAGAGUGAUUUUGACUUGAUUGGGUGGUUGGUAUGAAUUUUAAAACAUUUAAGUGUGCUUUAAAUCAUUGGUUGUAUUCUUGAAUAUUAAGAAAGUUAAAUUUGACCAUUGUCAAGAGAACUUUGGAUCGGUAGACUGAUGAUUCUAAUAGAUUUGGAACAUAUUGUAUGGUCAAUCUACAGAAUGUCGAGGGUCCAUUCAGAGUUUUGAUUGAAGCCUUCACGAAAGAUAUGCAUGAUUUAUGAAAACGAUUGUGUUAUGAUAUGUUGCUUUGAGAUUAGCAUCAACUAAAUUAUGAAAGAUUUUCUCACAUAAUAACAUCUUCUUUCUCAAAAAGAAAAAGUUAGAAACACAAUCUUCACACCCCUAAACAAUAGCAAUAGCACGGAUCCUAAGCUAUGUCGCGUGAAAAAAUGAUUCCAUGAUUCAAGAUUUAAGGAGCUAUUCUAUGAUUUUA